AACGGCGUGUGAAGCGGCAAGAGCUCAAAUUUGAAAUCUGGCCUCCCUUGGGGGGUCCGAGUUGUAAUUUGUAGAGGAUGCUUCGGGUGUGGCCGCCGUCUAAGUUCCUUGGAACAGGACGUCGUAGAGGGUGAGAAUCCCGUCUUGGGCGGCCGGUCCGCGCCCGUGUGAAGCUCCUUCGACGAGUCGAGUUGUUUGGGAAUGCAGCUCUAAGCGGGUGGUAAAUUUCAUCUAAAGCUAAAUACUGGCCGGAGACCGAUAGCGCACAAGUAGAGUGAUCGAAAGGUUAAAAGCACCUUGAAAAGGGAGUUAAACAGCACGUGAAAUUGUUGAAAGGGAAGCGCUUGCGGCCAGACUCGAGGGGCGGGGUUCAGCGGGUGCGCGUCACCCGUGCACUCCCCGUCCCCCCGGGCCAGCAUCAGUUUCGACGGCCGGUCAAAGGCCCCCGGAAUGUGUCGUCUCUAGGGACGUCUUAUAGCCGGGGGUGCAAUGCGGCCCGCCGGGACUGAGGAACGCGCUCCGGCUCGGAUGCUGGCGUAAUGGCCGUAAGCGGCCCGUCUUGAAACACGGACCAAGGAGUCUAACAUCCACGCGAGUGUUCGGGUGUCAAACCCGUGCGCGCAGUGAAAGCGAACGGAGGUGGGAGCCCUAGGGCGCACCAUCGACCGAUCCUGAAGUCUUCGGAUGGAUUUGAGUAGGAGCGUGGCCGUUGGGACCCGAAAGAUGGUGAACUAUGCCUGAAUAGGGUGAAGCCAGAGGAAACUCUGGUGGAGGCUCGCAGCGGUUCUGACGUGCAAAUCGAUCGUCAAAUUU
Molecule: ribosomal RNA, 813 nt
Filed under: Microsporum audouinii
Lineage: Eukaryota; Fungi; Ascomycota; Eurotiomycetes; Onygenales; Arthrodermataceae
Description: LSU rRNA
Rfam family: Eukaryotic large subunit ribosomal RNA
Source: RNAcentral